AAUAAGGUAAAGUUGCCACUGAAGACAGCAGGAGCCUGUUGGCUUAAUCUUAUAUCCUGCCGAGGUUGGACAGAUCGCUGACAUAAGUUCAGCUUUCUUAACCUCUGUUGCGGCAGAGGUUUUUUUGACUGGGUG
Peptococcaceae bacterium CEB3 is the source of this 135-nucleotide non-coding RNA. Lineage: Bacteria; Bacillati; Bacillota; Clostridia; Eubacteriales; Peptococcaceae. The record is from Rfam.